UAGCUCAGUGGUAGAGCGCAUGCCUAGCACGCAUGAGGUCCUGGGUUCGAUCCCCAG
RNAcentral lists this transfer RNA (57 nucleotides) under Camelus bactrianus (Bactrian camel). It matches the Rfam family "tRNA", at positions 8 to 63 of the family's 71-position model. From Rfam's summary of the family: Transfer RNA (tRNA) molecules are approximately 80 nucleotides in length. Their secondary structure includes four short double-helical elements and three loops (D, anti-codon, and T loops). Lineage: Eukaryota; Metazoa; Chordata; Mammalia; Artiodactyla; Camelidae. The record is from Rfam by way of RNAcentral. RNAcentral also lists the same sequence under 2 other names.